CAAUAGCGUAUAUUUAAGUUGUUGCAGUUAAAAAGCUCGUAGUUGGAUUUCGGAUGGGACUUGCCGGUCCGUCGUUUCGAUGUGCACUGGCCAGUCCUAUCUUGUUGUCGGGGACUAGCUCCUGGGCUUCACUGUCCGGGACUAGGAGCUGACUAGGUUACUUUGAGUAAAUUAGAGUGUUCAAAGCAAGCCUACGCUCUGAAUACAUUAGCAUGGAAUAACACGAUAGGACUCUGGCUUAUCUUGUUGGUCUGUGAGACCAGAGUAAUGAUUAAGAGGGACAGUCGGGGGCAUUCGUAUUUCAUUGUCAGAGGUGAAAUUCUUGGAUUUAUGAAAGACGAACUUCUGCGAAAGCAUUUGUCAAGGAUGUUUUCAUUAA
Molecule: ribosomal RNA, 379 nt
Filed under: uncultured eukaryote
Lineage: Eukaryota
Description: partial 18S ribosomal RNA
Rfam family: Eukaryotic small subunit ribosomal RNA
Source: RNAcentral